GGGAGCGCAGCGGGCCCCAGCGGCGGGAUAGUGAAGACGCGCGGGACGGCCGCACGGCGAGCCGGCUGGACGCCAGACAAAACGGCGGGUAUGACAUGCAGAGCGACAACGACGACGGCGGCGGGGGGGACGGGGCCGGGCAGCGACACCCUGACAAGGUCAGACGGCGCCGCGAUUACCACGAGGCCACCGCCGGUCGGCUGGGGAAGAUACGAGACGGCGACAACGACCGGCGGCCCUCGCGUCAGGCGGCCGAGCCCCUCUCGGAGCGAGGCGAGAGCUAUCCAGGACGAGGCGAGCCCCGCCCAGAGCGAGAGGAGCCCCGCCCAGAGCGAGGCGAGCCCCGCCCAGAGCGAGACAAGCCCCGCUUAGAGCGAGACGAGCCCCACCUGGAGCGAGGCGAGCCUUGUCUGGAGCGAGGCGAGUCCCGUCUGGGGCGAAGCGAGCUCCUUCCGAAGCGAAGUGAGUCCCGCCCGGAGCGAGGCGAGCCCCGCCCAGAGCAAAAAGGGGCCCGGUCGGUACAAGGCGAGACGGCGGAGCGGAGUCUUGGUCGGACCAGCGCCGACGAAGGCGGACGCGUCGAACGGGCGGGCCGGAAGCGAAGCCGCGAGGACGACGAACCGGCGCCGCUGGAGGCGAAACGUUCCCGAACCGCACAGGGCUUGAGCUCACGACAAGUUCUCCAGACCGUCAAUAUCAAGUCGUUCCUGUCCAAGCUGCACAACAGACAGGACUGAAUGGGGGCGGAUCGACCACUAGCCUGCGUGCGGGCCUGUGCCUUCAGCGCCUGCACCGCUCGGCUGCGGCGGGACCAGUAGUACCAGUUGUGCAUGUCGGUGAAGCCUACGGCGUUGCACCGAUCAGGAGAUGCGUUGACACGGCCAGCCGCCGUGACAGUCGCGUUGCGGUGCUGACACGAUCGUUUCGUGCUGCCUGGGACGAACAGAGUACAAACGCGUCGUUUUGCGACGUUUUUAGUCACUGCGGUCUGACAUGACUUGGUCCAUUUAGUCUCGUCUUGUAGGCGCGUCAUUUGACCCGGGAUGGCGUUGUUGCGUUCGUUGAUGUUCCAUGCUUGCGCCCCAUGCAUUGGAUGGUAACGAUUUCUGUCGUGCCCCGUUUCUGGAGGUAAUUUUCACCUGAUCUAACAGUCAGCAACCAGUUACAUGAUCCAUAGAUAAUUUCACAAAAUACUCGUCGUUUAUAGAAAUAUAACGAUUUUUACGCAUA
Pollicipes pollicipes is the source of this 1230-nucleotide long non-coding RNA. RefSeq lists it as uncharacterized. The transcript is spliced from 2 exons. The record is from RefSeq and is a predicted model, not a curated record. NCBI's taxonomy places the organism in Eukaryota, Metazoa, Arthropoda, Thecostraca, Pollicipedomorpha, Pollicipedidae.